Moniliophthora roreri MCA 2997 is the source of this 262-nucleotide small nuclear RNA. It matches the Rfam family "U2 spliceosomal RNA". Rfam says of the family: U2 is a small nuclear RNA (snRNA) component of the spliceosome (involved in pre-mRNA splicing). Complementary binding between U2 snRNA (in an area lying towards the 5' end but 3' to hairpin I) and the branchpoint sequence (BPS) of the intron results the bulging out of an unpaired adenosine, on the BPS, which initiates a nucleophilic attack at the intronic 5' splice site, thus starting the first of two transesterification reactions that mediate splicing. NCBI's taxonomy places the organism in Eukaryota, Fungi, Basidiomycota, Agaricomycetes, Agaricales, Marasmiaceae. The record is from Rfam.
AUUUGUUUUAAGCCGAAAGCUGACAAUCCUCGCUUUAACCAGGUGUAGUAUCUGUUCUUUAUAGGUAUGUGGUUUUUAUACUACACUUACCAUAUAUAGUGCUGAUAUUUCCUUUUUAAUCCAGCUUAACCGCUAUAACGACCCCAUCGGGGUCUGUUUUCGGUUAUAUAAUUUUUGCCGCCCCCGUUCCUCGAGCUCUGCUUGCAACUCGAGGACACGAUGACCUUGCUAUUGCAGUACCGGCUUGUGUCGUCAGGGGAUC